CACUGCCACAUUGGAGAUCAAAUUUCCACAUGAGUUUUGGAGGGGACAAUACAUCCAAACUCCAUCAGACCCUGUUGGAUUCCCUGUUAGAAUGACAUCAAGCCACUCCUGGAGGAGCCUCUCAGGCUAUGGUACCGGGAGCAGGAAAUGAAGCACAGCCCAGUAGACUCCCUGAGCUGACAUGGAGCUGUGAAUUUGGAGAGACCAGCACCACCACAGUUCAUAGGACAGAGUACCAAAAAGAAGAGGAAUACACAAAGAGAACCCCAGAGAUCUGCAAAAGUUCUCUCCUGAGUAUUCAUCAGAGACUGAUCAACAUAAGCAUGUGAGCAAACCACUCAGGACUGGGAAUUUGAAGGGGUUAAAGGAACUGGUGUCCAGUGCACGUAGUAGUUGCAACAGUGCUUUUUUCUACCAGCCAGACUGGAAAAUUUCAUAAUUUACAGAGGAUUGGAUAGAACUCUUGGGAAAACCUUGCCUACCUAGUACGGAAUAAUUAGCUUCAGACUGAGCAUUUCUGUGGAUCUGCCUAACAAUUCUUAAAAGUGGGAUUCAAAAGGAUCAAACUUUGUCCAAGUAAUGUAACUAUAUCCCAUAACAAAGACCAAGAAGAGCUAUAGGAAUACAAAAAUAUCCAACACCUUACAAGGUAAAAAUUCACAGUGUCUAGCAUUUAAUCAAAGAUUACCAGGCACGCAAAGAGGCAGGAAAACAUAAGGAGAAUAUUCAAUCCGUUGAAACUGAUCCAGAGCUGACACAAUGUUAGAAUUAUAAUAGAAGAAUAUUAAGAAAGUUAUUAUAGCUGUACUCUGUAUGUUCAGAAGUUAAAUAGAGACAUGGAAGGUACAAACACAGACCCAAAUUGAACUUCUAGAAAUGAAAACUAUAAUAUGAAAAAUGCACUAGAAGGAAUUAAUGGCAGAUCUGACAUUACAGUAGAUCUCUUCCACUGAAGAGAUCAGUGAAUUUGAAAGCAUUACAAUUGAAAUUACCCACAGUGAAACACAGAAAGAAAAAAAGAGGGGGAAAAAAGCAUCAGUGAGCUCUGGAACAACUUCAAAUGGCCUAAUAUAUGUGUAAUUGGAGUCCCAAAAGAGAGGGGAGUACAGAAAAAAAUUAGAAGAAAUAAUGGCUGAAAAUUAUCUAAACUUGAUGAAAAGUAUAAACCCAAAGUUCCAAGAAGCUCAAUGAUCUGCAGACAUGAGAAACAAAGAAAACUAUACCAUGUCAUCAAUUUAUUGCCUCUCAUCUCCCAGUGCACCCUUCAAUAUGUGCUCUGAAAUAAACAAAAUAAUUUCUUUAAA
This is a long non-coding RNA of Cynocephalus volans (Philippine flying lemur), 1304 nucleotides long. RefSeq lists it as uncharacterized. The transcript is spliced from 2 exons. The record is from RefSeq and is a predicted model, not a curated record. Lineage: Eukaryota; Metazoa; Chordata; Mammalia; Dermoptera; Cynocephalidae.